RNAcentral lists this unclassified non-coding RNA (420 nucleotides) under Hevea brasiliensis (rubber tree). Lineage: Eukaryota; Viridiplantae; Streptophyta; Magnoliopsida; Malpighiales; Euphorbiaceae. The record is from RNAcentral.
CCCUGCAGCACCACUAUCCCCACUCAAAGGGCUUAGGCAGGAUCUAGUGAGAAUAGAUGAUUCUUUCCCUUGUCUGGUCUUUUUGUCAUUCCAUGAAAAGUUAGAUACAUCUACAGAAUUCCUGAUGCUAUAAACUAAUGGCUGACAAGAUCCUGGUGACACCGUUGGACCUGGAACUAUACCAAGCUUAAGGGACUGCAGAGCUUUUCCAGCACGUUGGAUCAUUGUGGACACCACUGCAUUAUUGACUUUAGGGACUACUGUUGUCAAGUCAAUAUUGGUAUAGCACAAGGGAUCCAUGGCACAUUUGUUGAACAUUGAACAAGUUGCUGCAGCAUAGCAUAAACUUUGUGUAUCAAGCAUAGAAAAUACCUUGAUGGUGAGAUCGGGAGGUAGAGCCCAGGUAAGCGAAUUGUGAUU